Molecule: ribosomal RNA, 492 nt
Filed under: uncultured bacterium
Lineage: Bacteria
Description: partial 16S ribosomal RNA
Rfam family: Bacterial small subunit ribosomal RNA
Source: RNAcentral
AGUGAACGCUGGCGGUAGGCCUAACACAUGCAAGUCGAACGGCAGCACAGUAAGAGCUUGCUCUUACGGGUGGCGAGUGGCGGACGGGUGAGGAAUACAUCGGAAUCUACUUUUUCGGGGGGGAUAACGUAGGGAAACUUACGCUAAUACCGCAUACGACCUACGGGUGAAAGCAGGGGAUCUUCGGACCUUGCGCGAUUGAAUGAGCCGAUGUCGGAUUAGCUAGUUGGCGGGGUAAAGGCCCACCAAGGCGACGAUCCGUAGCUGGUCUGAGAGGAUGAGAGGCGACACGGGAACUGAGACAGGGUCCAGACUACGACGGGAGGCAGCAGUGGGGAAUAUUGGAAAAUGGGCGCAAGCCUGAUCCAGCCAUACCGCGUGGGUGAAGAAGGCCUUCGGGUUGUAAAGACCUUUUGUUGGGAAAGAAAAGCAGCAGGUUAAUAACCCGCUGUUCUGACGGUACCCAAAGAAUAAGCACCGGCUAACUUCGUG